CUCAGCAGCUCUUUGACCAAACACACAGAGUCGAAGAUGCUGGAGUUCCGUUACCUUUUUUAUAAGACAUUCCUCUAUCUCACCUCAUCGCGUCUCCUUAAAUAAGCGCAGCGUGCACAUGAAUAAUGCGCCAUUCAGGCGACCAACUAUCAUUGACGUGAGCUCUUUGUCCGACCGACUCGAGCUGUGAUUGGCUACUGCCCUCCCGGACCACCGUCUCAAGACCACCCCUCCUGCGCGCUGAUUGGUCCGAGCCUGGUACAAAGAGAGACUGAAGACAAGGUUCCUCAAUCCUCCCAAAAACAAGGUUUCUUUGGUCUGCAGUUUUGUAAACACAGGUCUUGAUGACUUCAGCGACUGUCCGUCACUUCUAUCAGGGGCCCAGAGAGGUGUCUCGCCUGUUCUUUUUCACAGCACCCAAAACAAAAAAUCCAAUCAGAAGCAGAGACAGAGCAUCUCUAAAGAGCAUGCCUGCUUCUCAAAGCAGAUGAUCCAAAAACAGCUUCGCAAAGAAUAUAUUGCUGCUGUGGAGGAAAAACUGACAAAGUGUCCUCUAACAAUGUACCCGCACUAUAAAGAUCACAUGACUCCAGAGUUAUUUCAUAAGGUGGCGUCAAUUUUGGACCCAGAGAUGUGCGUGAAUGACGCCUCCAGACUUCCUACACCCACGGAGCACCAUGUGGCAGAGGACAAUGACAAAAACUGUAAAGAAGAAUAAGAAUAACUCCAACUGAAUGCAACAGCCAUGACGUGGACGAGCCAAGUUCCAGAAACUGUUAUUAAACAUCAACAGAAAUGCUGUCAGCCAAACUGUCCAUGGAGAUCAAUCUGGCACCCACAAGGACAUGAAGUUAAAAGAUUUAAAAGUUUCCAGCAAC
Notolabrus celidotus (New Zealand spotty) is the source of this 878-nucleotide RNA transcript. RefSeq lists it as uncharacterized. The transcript is spliced from 4 exons. Lineage: Eukaryota; Metazoa; Chordata; Actinopteri; Labriformes; Labridae. The record is from RefSeq and is a predicted model, not a curated record.